Molecule: transfer RNA, 89 nt
Filed under: Acidobacteriota bacterium
Lineage: Bacteria; Pseudomonadati; Acidobacteriota
Description: Acidobacteria bacterium (anaerobic digester metagenome) tRNA-Leu
Rfam family: tRNA
About the family: Transfer RNA (tRNA) molecules are approximately 80 nucleotides in length.
Source: RNAcentral
GCCGAAGUGGCGGAACUGGCAGACGCACUGGACUCAAAAUCCAGCGGACCGCAAGGUUCGUGUGGGUUCGAUUCCCACCUUCGGCACCA